AUAGGUUUGGUCCCAGCCUUCCUGUUAACUUUCAAUAGACUUAUACAUGCAAGCAUCCACGCCCCGGUGAGUAACGCCCUUCGAAUCACAUAGGACUAAAAGGAGCAGGUAUCAAGCACACACUCUUGUAGCUCACAACGCCUUGCUUAACCACACCCCCACGGGAGACAGCAGUAACAAAAAUUAAGCCAUAAACGAAAGUUUGACUAAGCCAUAUUGACCAGGGUUGGUAAAUCUCGUGCCAGCCACCGCGGUCAUACGAUUGACCCAAGCUAACAGGAGUACGGCGUAAAGCGUGUUAAAGCAUCAUACUAAAUAGAGUUAAAUUUUAAUUAAACUGUAAAAAGCCAUAAUUAUAACAAAAAUAAAUGACGAAAGUAACCCUACAAUAGCUGAUACACCAUAGCUAAGACCCAAACUGGGAUUAGAUACCCCACUAUGCU
RNAcentral lists this ribosomal RNA (443 nucleotides) under Ovis aries (sheep). RNAcentral's name for it is "partial 12S ribosomal RNA". The record is from RNAcentral. Lineage: Eukaryota; Metazoa; Chordata; Mammalia; Artiodactyla; Bovidae.